UGAGGAAUAUUGGACAAUGGAUGGAAAUCUGAUCCAGCCAUGCCGCGUGCAGGACGACGGCCCUAUGGGUUGUAAACUGCUUUUGUAUGGGAGCAAUAAGGUCUAUGCGUAGACUGAUGAGAGUACCAUACGAAUAAGCAUCGGCUAACUCCGUGCCAGCAGCCGCGGUAAUACGGGGGAUGCAAGCGUUAUCCGGAUUUAUUGGGUUUAAAGGGUGCGUAGGCGGUUUGAUAAGUCAGCGGUGAAAUAUUUCAGCUUAACUGAAAGGGUGCCGUUGAUACUGUCAGGCUUGAAUAUGGUUGCUGUGGGUGGAAUGUGUGGUGUAGCGGUGAAAUGCUUAGAUAUCACACAGAAUAUCGAUUGCGAAGGCAGCUCACGAAGCGAUUAUUGACGCUGAUGCACGAAGCGUGGGGAGCAAACA
Molecule: ribosomal RNA, 421 nt
Filed under: uncultured prokaryote
Description: bacterial SSU rRNA
Rfam family: Bacterial small subunit ribosomal RNA
Source: RNAcentral